GCUCUCGUGGUGUAGUGGCUAUCAUACUUUCUUAGGGUCCAGUCGGUCUCUAAUCCUUCUACAGCUAUGGAAGUGGUCCUGGGUUCAAAUCCCGGCGAGGGCC
This 103-nucleotide transfer RNA is filed under the name Apiotrichum porosum. RNAcentral describes it as "tRNA-Pro". It matches the Rfam family "tRNA". Rfam says of the family: Transfer RNA (tRNA) molecules are approximately 80 nucleotides in length. Their secondary structure includes four short double-helical elements and three loops (D, anti-codon, and T loops). Lineage: Eukaryota; Fungi; Basidiomycota; Tremellomycetes; Trichosporonales; Trichosporonaceae. The record is from RNAcentral.